CGAUGACACAAGAAAUCAAAAAUUUAAAAUCGUUUCGCGUAUGAGACGCUUUAUAAUUUUAUCAAUUUCUAACGAUGAUUUUUAGUAAACGAAAGUGUAUUUUCAGUAAAAGUCUGCGGCAUUAGUGUUAUUUCGCACACUGAUGUAUAUUGUUCAUUUAUUUCUUAAAUCUGUGACAAAAAGUUGAAACAUUCUCAUUUUGAUAGAGUGUGAACAAGUCCCUUUAACAUUGACAGCAAAUGUUUUGUUUUGGAAGUUAAAUUAAUACUGGCUAAAUUUGCAGGUGUGUUAUUGUUUUAAAUUGAGAUGGUGAACAGAUACUUCAUGAAUUAUAUGAAUCACCAGGGAAAGGACCCAACUACUUGCACAGAUGCAUCCUGGCGGGUGAAAGAAGGGAUGAUCACUUUGGCAACAGAUUGUUCAACUGCUUAAAUGUUGAUGUGGACUCAGUCAAAGAAUUUGCUGUAACUGUGUAUGUCUCUUCACUAUGUGGACAUAAAGUGCUACAGCUGGUUGGAGAUUAAGAUCACAAUGUACUGUUUUAAUGGAGAACAUCUGUGAAUAUUUAUUCUAACAAUGGAAAUUCAAACCUGAAUUAUUAUAAUUAGAAAACAUUUUCAUGUACAUGCUGGAAUUUUAUUUGAAGUGUAAAACUAAAAUAAUUUAGAAUUAUUUUUAAACACAAACACAGUUUUAUUAUAGAAAUAAUUGUAUAAACUUAAGAGAAAUCAGUGUUUAAGUGAUGCAUUUUAUUUAGUGUUUGACCUAUUUAACACCUUAACUAUGUUUUUUUAUGUUGAAUGUAAUGGUAAUAAAAAAAAACCAUAAGCUGACAUCCAAAGGGUUUUAACCUUAAAGGGAAUUGUUCACAGAUUCAGGCAUUUUUUAAAAGUAUGUCAGUAGAAGCCUUAAAUUGCUAGAUUUUAACCUCAAAAUAGAAUUUUAGAAGAGAUAAAAACACCAGAAAAAUAUUGGUAUCCAUGGGGGUCCUUAAAUUAUUUAACCUAUAACACUCGGCCAUCUUGAAUUUUAUAUUUAAGCAUUCAUUUUAUACUUGAUAUAUGUGACCCAUGUGAAAUAACAAAAUUUAACAGAAAAAACAGAAUCAUAAAAAAUUAUCCAAUCAUCACCCUGUUUAAUUGUAUCCAUUGCACAUGAUGAAUACUCAUAAAAAAGCUGUAUUUUCAGUUUGAGUCUACAUCAUUAGUGGCAUUUUGCUCCCUGAUUUACAGUACAUGUAUUCUUUUUUAUUUUGUAUCUGUUCCUUAAAUUUGGAAAAUGGUCAGUUUUACUAUCUGUGCACAAUUCCUUUUGAUCUUUAUUCUUAGUUUUGUGAUCAAUGGAAUGCCUAAUACCAUUUCAAUAGUAAAUGAGAUUACGGGUAAGUACUUGUUAAACAAUAAGGCCGUAAAACGUGCAA
Long non-coding RNA from Dreissena polymorpha, 1420 nucleotides. RefSeq lists it as uncharacterized. Lineage: Eukaryota; Metazoa; Mollusca; Bivalvia; Myida; Dreissenidae. The transcript has 3 exons. The record is from RefSeq and is a predicted model, not a curated record.